RNAcentral lists this transfer RNA (73 nucleotides) under Oenococcus oeni. RNAcentral's name for it is "tRNA-Ala". Lineage: Bacteria; Bacillati; Bacillota; Bacilli; Lactobacillales; Lactobacillaceae. The record is from RNAcentral.
GGGGAAUUAGCUCAGCUGGGAGAGCACCUGCCUUGCCAGUAUGGGGUCAUCGGUUCGAAAAAGAUAUUCACCA